AUACGGAGGGGGCUAGCGUUGUUCGGAAUUACUGGGCGUAAAGCGCGCGUAGGCUGAUCUUUAAGUCAGGGGUGAAAUCCCGGGGCUCAACCUCGGAACUGCCUUUGAUACUGGAGAUCUUGAGUCCGGAAGAGGUUAGUGGAAUUCCCAGUGUAGAGGUGAAAUUCGUAGAUAUUAGGAAGAACACCAGUGGCGAAGGCGGCUCACUGGCUCGAUACUGACGCUGAGGUGCGAAAGCGUGGGGAGCAAACAGGAUUAGAUACCCCGGUAGUCC
Molecule: ribosomal RNA, 274 nt
Filed under: uncultured bacterium
Lineage: Bacteria
Description: partial 16S ribosomal RNA
Rfam family: Bacterial small subunit ribosomal RNA
Source: RNAcentral